CCUACGGGAGGCAGCAGUGAGGAAUAUUGGUCAAUGGGCUUACGCCUGAACCAGCCAAGUCGCGUGAGGGAAGACUGCCCUAUGGGUUGUAAACCUCUUUUGUCAGGGAGCAACGCCGGCUACGUGUAGCCGGACUGAGAGUACCUGAAGAAAAAGCAUCGGCUAACUCCGUGCCAGCAGCCGCGGUAAUACGGAGGAUGCGAGCGUUAUCCGGAUUUAUUGGGUUUAAAGGGUGCGUAGGCGGAAUGCCAAGUCAGCGGUAAAAUCGCGGGGCUCAACCUCGCUCCGCCGUUGAAACUGGCGUUCUUGAGUGGGCGAGAAGUACGCGGAAUGCGUGGUGUAGCGGUGAAAUGCAUAGAUAUCACGCAGAACUCCGAUUGCGAAGGCAGCAUACCGGCGCCCAACUGACGCUGAAGCACGAAAGCGUGGGGAUCGAACAGGAUUAGAUACCCGGGUAGUC
Molecule: ribosomal RNA, 460 nt
Filed under: uncultured bacterium
Lineage: Bacteria
Description: partial 16S ribosomal RNA
Rfam family: Bacterial small subunit ribosomal RNA
Source: RNAcentral